GACGAACGCUGGCGGCGUGCUUAACACAUGCAAGUCGAGCGGUAAGGCCUUUCGGGGUACACGAGCGGCGAACGGGUGAGUAACACGUGGGUGAUCUGCCCUGCACUUCGGGAUAAGCCUGGGAAACUGGGUCUAAUACCGGAUAUGACCUCCUAUCGCAUGGUGGGUGGUGGAAAGAUUUAUCGGUGCAGGAUGGGCCCGCGGCCUAUCAGCUUGUUGGUGGGGUAAUGGCCUACCAAGGCGACGACGGGUAGCCGACCUGAGAGGGUGACCGGCCACACUGGGACUGAGACACGGCCCAGACUCCUACGGGAGGCAGCAGUGGGGAAUAUUGCACAAUGGGCGAAAGCCUGAUGCAGCGACGCCGCGUGAGGGAUGACGGCCUUCGGGUUGUAAACCUCUUUCAGCAGGGACGAAGCGCAAGUGACGGUACCUGCAGAAGAAGCGCCGGCUAACUACGUG
RNAcentral lists this ribosomal RNA (462 nucleotides) under uncultured bacterium. RNAcentral's name for it is "partial 16S ribosomal RNA". It matches the Rfam family "Bacterial small subunit ribosomal RNA", at positions 28 to 507 of the family's 1533-position model. The record is from RNAcentral.